This 253-nucleotide ribosomal RNA is filed under the name uncultured bacterium. RNAcentral describes it as "partial 16S ribosomal RNA". It matches the Rfam family "Bacterial small subunit ribosomal RNA", at positions 524 to 776 of the family's 1533-position model. The record is from RNAcentral.
UACGAAGGGGGCGAGCGUUGUUCGGAUUUACUGGGCGUAAAGGGCGCGCAGGCGGCUAUCCAAGUCAGGCGUGAAAGCCCCGGGCUUAACCUGGGAACUGCGUCUGGGACUGGGUGGCUAGAGUUCGGGAGAGGAGAGUGGAAUUCCCAGUGUAGAGGUGAAAUUCGUAGAUAUUCGCAAGAACACCAGUGGCGAAGGCGGCUCACUGGCCCGGUACUGACGCUGAGGUGCGAAAGCGUGGGGAGCAAACAGG